GAUGAACGCUGGCGGCGUGCCUAAUACAUGCAAGUCGAGCGAACGGACGAGAAGCUUGCUUCUCUGAUGUUAGCGGCGGACGGGUGAGUGACACGUGGAUAACCUACCUAUAUGACUGGGAUAACUUCGGGAAACCGGAGCUAAUACCGGAGAAUAUUUUGAACCGCAUGGUUCAAAAGUGAUAGACGGUCUUGCUGUCACUUAUAGAUGGAUCCGCGCUGCAUUAGCUAGUUGGUAAGGUAACGGCCUACCAAGGCAACGAUGCAUAGCCGACCUGAGAGGGUGAUCGGCCACACUGGAACUGAGACACGGUCCAGACUCCUACGGGAGGCAGCAGUAGGGAAUCUUCCGCAAUGGGCGCAAGCCUGACGCAGCCACGCCGCGUGAGUGAUGAAGGUCUUCGGAUCGUAAAACUCUGUUGUUAGGGAAGAACAUAUGUGUAAGUAACUGUGCACAUCUUGACGGUACCUAAUCAGAAAGCCACGGCUAACUACGUG
RNAcentral lists this ribosomal RNA (497 nucleotides) under uncultured bacterium. RNAcentral's name for it is "partial 16S ribosomal RNA". It matches the Rfam family "Bacterial small subunit ribosomal RNA", at positions 28 to 507 of the family's 1533-position model. The record is from RNAcentral.